Molecule: ribosomal RNA, 253 nt
Filed under: uncultured bacterium
Lineage: Bacteria
Description: partial 16S ribosomal RNA
Rfam family: Bacterial small subunit ribosomal RNA
Source: RNAcentral
UACGGAGGGUGCAAGCGUUAUCCGGAUUCACUGGGUUUAAAGGGUGCGUAGGCGGGCAGGUAAGUCAGUGGUGAAAUCUCCGGGCUUAACCCGGAAACUGCCAUUGAUACUAUCAGUCUUGAAUACCGUGGAGGUAAGCGGAAUAUGUCAUGUAGCGGUGAAAUGCUUAGAUAUGACAUAGAACACCAAUUGCGAAGGCAGCUUACUACCCGAAUAUUGACACUGAGGCACGAAAGCGUGGGGAUCAAACAGG